This 30-nucleotide non-coding RNA is filed under the name Rattus norvegicus (Norway rat). The record is from RNAcentral. Lineage: Eukaryota; Metazoa; Chordata; Mammalia; Rodentia; Muridae.
UGGGCCAGCUUUACCUUGCAUUGCACCUAU